CCUACGGGAGGCAGCAGUAAGGAAUAUUGGUCAAUGGAGGCAACUCUGAACCAGCCAUGCCGCGUGCAGGAAGAAGGCCCUAUGGGUCGUAAACUGCUUUUGUACCAGAGAAAACCACAGUACGUGUACUGUGUUGAUAGUAUGGUAAGAAUAAGCAUCGGCUAACUUCGUGCCAGCAGCCGCGGUAAGACGAAGGAUGCAAGCGUUAUCCGGAUUCAUUGGGUUUAAAGGGUGCGUAGGCGGACUGAUAAGUCAGUGGUGAAAUCUCUCAGCUUAACUGAGAAACUGCCAUUGAUACUGUUAGUCUAGAGUAUAGAUGACGUUGGCGGAAUAUGACAUGUAGUGGUGAAAUACUUAGAUAUGUCAUAGAACACCGAUUGCGAAGGCAGCUAACGAAACUAUAACUGACGCUGAGGCACGAAAGUGCGGGGAUCAAACAGGAUUAGAUACCCUGGUAGUCCGCACCGUAAACGAUGAUUACUCGUUGUUGGCAAUAUGACCGUCAGCGACCAAGCGAAAGCGAUAAGUAAUCCACCUGGGGAGUACGCCGGCAACGGUUGAAACUCAAANAGAGUAGAGACGNGAGAGNGCGACGGACGACACGAGGGAGGAGG
This 614-nucleotide ribosomal RNA is filed under the name uncultured bacterium. Its description in RNAcentral is "bacterial SSU rRNA". It matches the Rfam family "Bacterial small subunit ribosomal RNA", at positions 338 to 953 of the family's 1533-position model. The record is from RNAcentral.